AUUGAACGCUGGCGGCAGGCCUAACACAUGCAAGUCGAGCGGAUGAAGAGAGCUUGCUCCUGGAUUCAGCGGCGGACGGGUGAGUAAUGCCUAGGAACCUGCCUGGUAGUGGGGGAUAACGUCCGGAAACGGGCGCUAAUACCGCAUACGUCCUGAGGGAGAAAGGGGGGGAGCUUCGGACCUCACGCUACCAGGUGAGCCUAGGUCGGAUUAGCUAGUUGGUGGGGUAAAGGCCUACCAAGGCGACGAUCCGUAACUGGUCUGAGAGGAUGAUCAGUCACACUGGAACUGAGACACGGUCCAGACUCCUACGGGAGGCAGCAGUGGGGAAUAUUGGACAAUGGGCGCAAGCCUGAUCCAGCCAUGCCGCGUGUGUGAAGAAGGUCUUCGGAUUGUAAAGCACUUUUAGUUGGGAGGAAGGGCAGUAAGUUAAUACCUUGCUGUUUUGACGUUACCCACAGAAUAAGCACCGGCUAACUUCGUG
Molecule: ribosomal RNA, 484 nt
Filed under: uncultured bacterium
Lineage: Bacteria
Description: partial 16S ribosomal RNA
Rfam family: Bacterial small subunit ribosomal RNA
Source: RNAcentral